AAAACUUUCAACAACGGAUCUCUUGGUUCUGGCAUCGAUGAAGAACGCAGCGAAAUGCGAUAAGUAAUGUGAAUUGCAGAAUUCAGUGAAUCAUCGAAUCUUUGAACGCACAUUGCGUCCCUCGGCAUUCCGGGGGGCAUGCCUGUUCGAGCGUCAUUA
RNAcentral lists this ribosomal RNA (159 nucleotides) under Glaucomaria carpinea. RNAcentral describes it as "Lecanora carpinea 5.8S ribosomal RNA". It matches the Rfam family "5.8S ribosomal RNA". From Rfam's summary of the family: 5.8S ribosomal RNA (5.8S rRNA) is a component of the large subunit of the eukaryotic ribosome. Lineage: Eukaryota; Fungi; Ascomycota; Lecanoromycetes; Lecanorales; Lecanoraceae. The record is from RNAcentral.